RNA transcript from Pomacea canaliculata, 8726 nucleotides. It is a transcript of the gene named dual specificity protein phosphatase CDC14AB-like, with no coding region annotated. Lineage: Eukaryota; Metazoa; Mollusca; Gastropoda; Architaenioglossa; Ampullariidae. The transcript has 18 exons. The record is from RefSeq and is a predicted model, not a curated record.
GUCACGUGCUUUUUCCUGUGCGGUUCCUCAGGUUCAAACAUGGCUGUCUUGUGUCCUAAUCCAUAGUUUGUUUCUGCACAUCGCUGGUAGGACUGGGGGACGUUUUUAUUUUUCUUUUAUACUUUUAUUUUUUAAAAAAUUGUUGUCGUACAAAGACAAGGACAACGGAUCGAGUGUUCAGCGCGUCUAAAGCCAUCGUGAAAGGGGACUAGCGUUCCCCAGUCGCUGGACUUAGACAGGCUGUUGCCGAUCAGCGAUCACUACCGCGUCCUCUUGUUUUUCAAAGUCGACUCUAAAUUAUGGCUGAUGACCACGAUGUUAUUGGAAGUGCUUCGGAAUUCAUUAAGGAACGAUUGUACUUUGCAACAUUGCGUACUCGGCCCAAGUCUACUGCCCACACUCAUUACUUCAGUACCGAUGAUGAAUUGGUUUAUGAAAACUUCUAUGCAGAUUUUGGACCAUUGAACCUUGCAAAUCUAUACCGCUACUGUUGUAAAGUUAACAAGAAGUUGAAGUCCUUCUCUUUGGCCAAAAAGAGAAUUGUCCACUAUACAAGUUUUGAUGCUAGAAAAAGAGCCAAUGCUGCAUUUUUGAUAGCCUCAUAUGCUAUAAUCUACUUAAAAAAGACACCAGAGGAAGCCUACAAACCUCUUGUUGCGGGGUCCAACCCACCUUUUCUACCUUUCAGGGAUGCAUCAUUUGGGCCAUGUUCUUACAACCUUACUCUUCUAGACUGUCUACAUGGUCUUAGCAAAGCACUAUCAAAUGGUUUCUUUAAUUUUGAAACAUUUGAUGUGGAUGAGUAUGAACAUUAUGAGAAAGUAGAAAAUGGUGAUUUCAACUGGAUUGUGCCAGGUAAAUUUCUGGCUUUUUGUGGGCCUCAUCCUAAAUCAAAGAUUGAAAAUGGGUACCCACUGCAUGCACCAGAGGCCUACUUUCCGUAUUUCCGAAAACAUAAGGUGGCAGCCAUUGUUCGUCUAAACAAAAAAAUUUAUGAUGCCAGACGUUUCAAGGAUGCAGGCUUUGACCAUUACGAUCUGUUCUUUGUGGAUGGGAGUGUCCCCACUGAUGUGAUUGUCCGUCAAUUCUUGGAGCUGGCUGAAAAUUCAGAUGGUGCUGUUGCUGUUCACUGCAAAGCUGGUCUGGGUCGCACGGGAACACUAAUUGGUUGCUACAUCAUGAAGCACUACAAGUUCACUGCCGCAGAGGCUAUUGCCUGGUGUCGUAUUUGUCGUCCAGGAUCGAUCAUUGGUCCUCAGCAGAACUUCUUGGAAGAGAAACAGGCUUGGCUAUGGAUGCAAGGGGAUUUGUAUCGUGCUAAACAUAAAGCUGACUUCAAAGAACGCCAACGAGAGCGUCACCAUAGUGUGUCUAAUCUUCUGUCCAGUGUAGAUGAUAUGCGGAUCCAUGAUGCAAUCGAGAAUGACAACCGAUUUAGCUCUUACGACAAUAUCUAUGACCCUCCCAUCACACGUAGCUCAGAUGUGGAAACUCAGGGUGACAAACUCAACCAGCUCAAGCUGCUGCGGAAGCACCCUCGCUCAGCAACUACAGGCACGGUCUCUGUUGUAGAAGACGGUAAGGGUCACAAGCGCACUACCACCCAGCCCCUGCGUUCUUCUGGUUCCAAAAGUGCCCAGUGUGCUGUCUCUCCUCUCAAGUCCUCCAAAGUCUCCUCCACCUCCGUCCUGUCCAACAACCACUCCAACGGCAGUGUUAAGCGUGUCCCUCGCCAUUCUCUCACCACGACAACCAGUACCAGCACAAAGAGAAGAAACCAGAUGCAUAGUUUGCGGAAGAGUAUGCACACUAGCUCUACGCGAGUAGGCAUGGGUUUAGAGUCAGUCUACUCAGACUAUAAAGGCCCGGAGUUAAAAAGCAGCAUGUUUGGUAGUAGCUGUGAUAUCUAUAAAACGUCCAGUGAUUUCACGUCUACAUGGCCCUACAAAUAUCACUUGCGCUCCAACCACACAAGACUGGCAAGACUUUAUUGACCAGGAUACCAGAUUCCUGCCUGUUACUCAAGAGUUCUGGGAGGUUGGUGAUACAGUGUAGUAGCAACAACAAAAUACAUUGUAACUGUGGAAAUCCAAUUUGCUUGAAGAGGUCAGUGCCACAUGCUCGCACCAGUAAAGUGACCCUACUGCGAUGACAAGCCCAAACCACAGAGGUGCACAGCACUGCAUUUGAUUGGCAAGAAUACGAAACUACAGCUGUGAUAGCUUCACAGGCAGCGAGCAGCGUCUUAGUUCUUAGAUCUUACCUCUCCCCUUUGUUAUUGGAGAACUAUUUGUGUGUCUUCUUGUUUGAUACAAUAAUUUUUAAUGUACUGCAGCAGAGCUGCAUAUUUUUUAAUGUUUUGGAUGAAGUCACUUUAAAAGAUAGGAAAAUAAUAGAAAGCCUUUUUGUUCUUAAAAAGAUAUUGGAGGGACAGAAAUACAUCAUUUACUCUUAACUCCUAAUUUUCAAUCAGGGUCACCCCAUAAUUCUUCUGCUUCACCCCAUUCAAAAGAAAAGAACUGACAUUUUUCUACAUUUGUUCUUUAUUUUGUAAAGUACACUUUUAACAGAAAAUAUGUGAUGCAAUUUUUUUCUAGCUUUAUGUUUAUUGAGACACACAGUUUGGAUCAUAAUGUACAUAGUGUCAGCACAAGCUGAUCCGGCAGCAGGAGAUUCCCACCCACCCACCCCUUGAAUUUGUAUCUUCAUUUGCAAUAGCUGGUAAUCACUAGAGUUGUGAGGAGCCAUUGUAUAUGUAUUUUUCUGUCUGUUACUGUUAGUGCCCCUCGUCACUUGCAGCAUGCUGGUUGUUCCAAGCAUUUCUCAAAAGUUAAUAAUGGUCAUACAUGAUCAGAAUAGGAAAGAUCUACCACAACCUUUUACCUGUAUUAAUUUUUUUGUCAUGCAUCUCGAGGGUGUAGGAGGAGUAAGAAUUUUUUCUGAAGAUUUAACUUUAAAAAAAAAAAAAGAAAGCUUUACAUCUAUCCUUUUCUGCUGGGUGUACAUUUGAAAUGGUGGCAAUAGGGUGGGUGGGAUUGUAGUACAUUUCUUUUGGGAGGCUGGUAAGAAGCCCCUAAAAAUGUUUUGUGUGGUGUGUGUGAAAUGUUCCUUUGAGUUUGCAGUUUUAACAUCUUGCAGGGAAGUGUAGACCUGUGUUGCAACAAAUAAGGAGAAUUGUUUAUUAUAUAUCAACUCUAAAGUCCACAAAAAAUGGUCACUGAAAGAGUGAUAAGAAAAUUUAAAAUACAAAGGACAUGAAUAAAUGUUGACAUGAUACUUGAAGGAGAUGAAAAGCAUACAUGUAAUUGUGUAUGCUAUUUGGUUUUAAAAUCACCUUUGUUCAUGCCACUCACUGGAUUUUUUUUUUUUAAUCAUGGCUUUACUGGAGACUUUAUUUAGCUACCAUUGUUUCCCUCCCCCACCACUUUCCCUUCAUUCUAUGUGAAACUUGGAUUGUAAGUCUUGCAUAUGCAUUGAUGUUUGGAAAGUGUGUGUGUUUGAAUAUAUGGGGAGUGGGGGUUAUAUUUGUUGAUAUAUAUAUAUACACAUUAGAUUUAUUUCUGGACUGCUUUAUUUAUUUAGCACAAAGAGGCUUCCAUGUUUGUAUAGUCAUUAGAUGUUGACAAAGAAUAUGUUCAUUUUGAAAAUAUUUUGCUGGCAAAUAUAAGUCUUAUAGGAGACAUUUUACUUAACAUAUAUUUUUCUGGUUAUGUAGAUGUAGCACAACUUUUUGAUACAUUAACAAGAUGUACACCGUCCUCAGUUUGUUUUUCUGUGUUUUGUGUUCAACACUUCCCAGUCAACACAUUAACUUGUUGCCAGUUAUCUUUUCUGAACUGUAAUGAUCAACCAUCUUUAACAUUUGUUCAUUUGUCACUGUUAUUCCAUGUGUUGUUGAGAUUCUGUGGUUAAAAAAGAAAGCCUGUUUUAUAGAGGAAAAAAAAUUUACCCUUCAGCUGAGAUCUUGUCAUAGUGGGCUGGAGGAAGCACCUAUAGAUUUAACAACAGCUAGGAGUGAAAAUUUUUUGCAUAAAAGCUUCAGCUGGGGAAGAAUUGUGUUAUUGUCUUAAAGUAACCCAUGAUAACUGGGUUUGAAACUGUAUACAGAGAAAACAGCCCUUUCCCCCACCAAGUUUUGUUAAAGAGGAUAUGUAACCUCAUAUAAAGCUCUGCUGCAUUGAGCUAUUAAAAUUCCACAGGCAUUAAUGUAUAGAAUGAUUAUGUUUUCAUAUUUUACUGGUGAUGCUGGCCUUUGCUAUGGGAGCAAUUUUACUGCUUAAUUUACAUUUAUGGAUAAAAAUAAAUAUCUGCUACCUUUUUUUUCCCCUUUGUGUACAUCAUGGCUGUUACUAUAUUCCAGAGGAAUUAAAGAUAUAUUCUUGCAAGGUUUCUACCAGCAUUGUGUUUAGCUUUAUCUUUUAUCUUUUAUUCUUUUUUUGGUAGUCUGUACAUGUAAAAAAAUUAGACAUUUUAAAUUUUUUAGAAAUUUCUUUCUGGCUGUUUUGAUAACUGUCUUUGGAAAAUAUGUUUACAUUUAUAUUUUUAAAAAAAACCAAAAAGGGAGAUCAAUAUUGUAAUGCUAACAGCAUUUGCAGUGUAAAAAACAUGUUUGUAGCAAUAUGCAUGCAUGUUGUCAAGCACAGUAGUGAAAAGCAUCCAUAUCUGCAUUGGGAUAAAUGAAUACUUCUGCAGAUUUUUAAGGUGUGAAUGGAUAUCUGCAUGCAUGGCUGGUGUGUAUAGUUAACUCAGGUACCCGCGAGAAGUUCAGGAGGAUGUUAGUUACCUAUUAAACAGCUUCAUUUUCUUAUGUAAAGUGGGGUUUUUUUUUAAAAAUUUUUAAAUUGAUGGUCCCCUUUUCUAUGUAGCAAGAAAAACUAUGCCUGCAGCACCAUGUGUUGAUUUUAAAAAUAUGCUAUAUCCCUGUUGCAGACUUCUUUCUAUGCACAUUUCUUAUGUGUGAUUGGAGAAUUUUUUAGGCUCAUUUCAAUGUGCUUCAUAAUAGUUUGUGCUUAGAUAAACAUAUGCAUGCAUGAGAGGGAGUCUUGUUCUGACAUUCUUACUCUGUCCCACAAGGCCAAAACAUUGUUUCUUUGAACCUUUUUCAGCAUAUUUUGUGACCCUAAAGCCUGCCUUUGUAACAACUCAUCAGUAAAGGGGGGAUAAGACUUGUAGAAUGCCUUCUCACUUUGUGCUUAAGUAACCAAAGACUGUUUUCCCUGUGAGAGAGAGCGAUUGAACUAUCAGUUAAGAAGCAAGAAAUUGUAUUGGUCUAGUCCUGCUUUAAUGCAUCUUCUUGCAGUAUGUCUUUACUUGGGGACUGGCACUACUGCAUGUCCAUUCAGAGCAUGUUCCUUCUGAAUUUACUGAUGGAUAAACUGCAGGGACAAAGUGCAGAUAUGAAAUCAAUUUUUAUGAUUUGCAAGAUAUCUUGCCAGUCUUCGUGGAAGUUACGUGUGUGUGCACACAUUCUCACACCUGUAGACUGUAGGGAAAGCAUUACUUGUGUUUUACACCAUGUGCUCAUGAAAUGUCAAUAAAUCCUGAUGAUUUGUGCUUUUUAAAAAUUUACAAUCUUCCAUGGUGAAGAUUUAUCUGCAUAGGGGUAUGAAACCACAUAUAUGCCCCUUGUCAUUGGUCAGUUUCCAGUUUCUCUUUACCAGUGAAUGUGAUGGCUUCUUGUGCUAGGGCUGAGACAAGAUAAGUUGAUUAAAAUUUGUAUAAUAUUAUCUUUAUUCUAAUAGCCUUAGCUGCAUAUUGUUCAACAUCAGACCUUAAAAAAGGGAACUUUAUGUGCUGAAAGUGGUGCUCUAGGUGGCUUGUGUGAAAAUAACAAUGUAACUGCUGCUAUUCUUUUUUUCAGCUGGAUGACAUACAUGUUAAGAAUCUAUACAAAGAGAGUGAGUUUAAAAGGAGUUGAUAUUUUUGGCCCCUGCUGAAUGGCAUACACUUAAUUGUGUACUCAAUAGUGCUUUGCCGUACAAAUAGCUCCAUGGGAUUAUGUACCAAGGUAUUUUUCUUUUUGAAUAAGUGAUUGUUUUGCUUUUGUUAACGUUUUCAAUGCCAAGUAUUUGGAUACUUAAUGCCAAGGCAGUUAGGCUGCUCAAUGCAUAGUGAAAUUUGUUCUUCAAAUGGAACCUUUUCAUGUUUUUAUGCCCCUUUCACAGCUAGAAAGGACUCAAAAUUUGGAACCAGUAGAAACCUAAAUCCAUUUCACUUGAAAACAUGAAGAACAUUUACAGGGACAAGAAAAAUAAAGGAUAUGGUUUUUGUGUCCUGUAAUAAGAUCAAACAUAGUAAAAUGAAUGCAGAAUAAAAAUUAGUUUGAAAGAUUUUUUUUUAAAACCCUCUUAUUAUUUUAUUUAAUGGGAUGUGAAGAGAUCCUGUUUCACUGUUGCAAGUUUCCUAAUUUUUAAUCUUUCAAUGAAGUUGCUGCUAAUCUUGUCAUUUAUGGAUGAUAACACCAUUAAUUAUUUUUGGAGUGCAACCAUUUGAAUGCAGAAGCAGACUACACAUAUUUUUUGACAGUUUUCAAAGCAGGAGGGCAGUCUGGUGGUGCAGUGGUUAGCACCUGUCACCAGUUCAGGUAGAAAUGGUUGUCCUGUGUUCAGAUCUUAUCUCGAACAUGCUGCUUUUUCUCUGCAUGUAGCAUGUUUACAGGGCUUAGUUUCUGGCUUGGUAUAAAACACCAAUUUUGUUCUUCUCCUUUCAAAGCAGUAGAAAAUGUUAAUUUAUGCUCAGUUAAAAGGAAAUGCUAUUGGGUUUGGCUUAUUCUAAUUAAAUCACUUCUUGUAUUUCGUUAUUGCCUAAAGGAGCUUAAAAACAUUCUUAUUAAUAGAGUUGCAAGUGUUUAAAAUUACAGGCAUCAAUAAAUUUUUUUUAAAUAGAACUUUGGCCUGUAUGUAAACACUUUCACCCCUUUUUUUUUCACUUGUUUAAAGUCAUCGAUGGUUCUGCUGUGACACUUCUUGUUUUUUUCUCUUGUUUUUGUCACCCCCUUGCCAUAAUGUAAUCAUUUUAAAACACAAAUUUUGUUGGACCUUCAGUGAAGUUCACUAAAAAAGUGUAAUUAUUUUGACAUUGGGUUUUUUCCAUCUUCACCUGGGAAAAGGGUUUAGCUUUUUCCUUCAAAAAAGAAUUUUGUAUUUAUCAGCUCAUAGGUUAUUGUUGUAUUGUAAUACUUAAAUGAGUGUAAAUAUUUUAAAUUAAUCUACAAGAACGGGCAAUAAGAUGGGUUAGGUAGUGUACACCACUACUCAGUUUUAAGAAAUUGUGUUCUGAUCCAGUUUUAAUUUCAGUUGUGAGUUGUAAUUAAUGAUUUGAUUAUCAACAUAUGUUAUGUCCUCUUUAAGGAAACCAUAGCUAUUGAGGAUAAUCUUUUAAUUGUUUGAAGUUUUCAUCCAGACUGCAAACAGAAAAUAAGCAUUAUUGAUGACUUUCCGCACAUUAAGAUCGCAUAAUCUUGCGAUGAAAUUAUUUCUUCCUUCUCUCUCCCUCUCUCUCUGUCUUCUCCCAUUCCCAUUUUCUUUCCUCCACCUUACUACAGGACUAAUUUCAGAGAGUAAGGCUGUUUAUUGACUGCAGCUAUUAUUUCACAACCUCCCACCAAAAGGUCACUGAAGACAAGCAGCUUGUCUUGCUUUUAUAAGGUUUUUAAAUGAUUUUGGGUGAAUGUUUUUCUUUAAUUACAUGGUAAUGGCCAUUAUUGUCCUUGCUGUUGGUUACGGCAAUUAUCUUCAUGAUUUUAUUAACCCUAUGGAAAGGAAACUUUCUGCUCUUUGAAUGGAAUUUAAUGCUCCUAAAAUAACAUUGACCAUCAUUUUCUUAAAACAAAAGAAUUAGAAUAGUUGUGUUUUGUUGUUCAUGUAUGUAUUCCAUUCAUUCACUCACAGAUUAUUCUUCAUGCUAGUCACCUGUCUUAAAUGGCUGUGUUCUAUAAGUAUGAAGUAUGUGUAAAAUACAUGAAGGUGUUGUAAUCAGUUAUUUGGAUUGGAAUCGUUAACCUGGUUGACUUUGUAUGCAAGCAGUUUAAUAUCUGGAACCCUCUGUAUUUAUGCACUUUCCGUUUUUCAAUAGUUGCUUUGAGUACACUAUCUGCUUUUUAUCUUUGCGUCAUCAUGAACUUCACAGGAAAGAUUGUUGAUUACGAGAAAAGAUAAAUUUUUUCUCCUUCCCCCAUGGGAGGUUAAAAAGUUAAAUUGUAGUUUCAGUUUUCCAGAGCUGGCAAGUUUGAUAUUAAAAAAGUCAUUCUUGCUUUUCUGUAUAUUUUAGCCUUAAAAACUGUCUUUAAUUUUUGAUUUUGUAUUAGCAGAUAUUGAGUUGAUGAAAUAUAGGUAGGCAGGUGAGGUCUGUGGAAGUUAUUUAUACAAGCACGUUUGCAUGUUUGAUUUCUGUUGUGUUUCUUUGAUAUUUGACAGUCACGUGUGAUUAGUUCACUACAUCAAAAUGUUUUUUGCACAUAAAGUAUCUUGUCCACCAGGGUAUGACAAGAACUGUUGUGCGAUUGGAGUAGGUCUUUUAUUCUUUUUCUUUUCUUUUGACCUUUUUUUCUUGCAAGAAUCUGGAAUGCCCAGUACAUCUAGAAUAUCUACCUUUGUGCAGGGUGACAUAGAAAAGCGAUUUGGAGUGUAUAUUUGAUACCGUUUUACUCAACCCUUCAUUUUGUACAAAAACAUAAUGAUACACAAUAGCUCUUUAUAUCAUAAUAAUAAAGUUAUUUGUAAAUCAUA